Molecule: ribosomal RNA, 305 nt
Filed under: Aeromonas caviae
Lineage: Bacteria; Pseudomonadati; Pseudomonadota; Gammaproteobacteria; Aeromonadales; Aeromonadaceae
Description: partial 23S ribosomal RNA
Rfam family: Bacterial large subunit ribosomal RNA
Source: RNAcentral
GGUUAAGUGACUAAGCGUACAUGGUGGAUGCCUUGGCAGUCAGAGGCGAUGAAGGACGUACUAACCUGCGAUAAGCCGUGAGCAGUCGGUAAGAGACAUUACGACUCACGGAUUUCCGAAUGGGGAAACCCACUUAGCAUAAGCUAGGUAUCGCUGCGUGAAUACAUAGCGUAGCGAGGCGAACCGGGAGAACUGAAACAUCUAAGUACCCUGAGGAAAAGAAAUCAACCGAGAUUCCCUCAGUAGCGGCGAGCGAACGGGGAUUAGCCCUUAAGCAUCUUGGAAGUUAGUGGAACGGUCCUGGA